AGAUACAGUGACAUCACUUCCUUCGUGGGAUAAAAACUGAGCCCAGACCACGUGAAAAGAAAAUCUUAGCCUGGCUACAACUCAGCAACAUCACAAUGUGUCUAGCAGCAUUCCUUGCACCCAGUGGGUACUCAAUCACUAACUGAGUGAAAUCAGUUAUUCACAGAACUACUGGAGCUCUCUUGAAGAAAGCCCAGGCAGGAAUUCUCCGAACAACAACUGCUACAUUCCACCACACUCACAUGUGAGACCGUGCUCUAUUGCAUAAUCAACAAAGGAAAAGGAACUUUAUUUUUAGCUACUGGACUUCACAGGGACGAUCAGAGUCCUAUUUAAACUUCUCUUUCAUCCCUAACCUUCAGAUGACACUCUUAGGAUUUGCUUUUGUAAUUUGUCUUUUUUAAAAAAAGGCUCAGUCAAAGAUGGCCUUGAGCAGAUUUAAAACAAUACAAAACAACAAGAGAAAUAAACCAGAUGGCAAAAAACUCAUAAAUCAAGCCAAGCCGCGCUGAACACGCUACAAAGAAAGGCAUCAUGAAACUGUAAAGGGAAGAGGCACUUCGUUCCUCAUGGAUAAGCCUCCGUUAUUGCUUCUUUGCGGAGGAAAGCUGGGAGGUCAUCCAGGGGAGGCUGCCGUGCUUCCUCCUCCACCUGUCACAGACAGACUGGAAAGAUCUGCGUGAUGGUUGCAAACCGGGAAGGGUCAGGAUUCAGAGAAGGCUAGUGUGACACUGCUUUCCCAGAUGACACCCAGUCAAAGGGAAAAAAAAAAGUGUUUGGGAGGAUCUCUAUUUUCCUUGCAUGGUGAUCAAGGUAGAGAAAGAAGAAAAAAUUGGCUCGACAUAUCUGCACCAUUUCUAACAGUUAAUGAAAACAACAGAAACUUCCUGGUUGGAAAAAAAAAAACAGUAACAGCGCCCAUCCCUACCCUUAUGUUUUCAACAGACCUCAAUAGAAGGACGCAUCCUUUCAGGGAAACAUCAUUAGUAGUACCUCUGGGUUGAAGAAGACAAGAAAGAAAAGCUGAGGUUCAAGACUUGUCCUGCUUGGAUGUGCCUCUGGUACUGAACUAAAUGGCUGGGCCUUCCCAUCCAGGAUCCUAGCGCACCCAAUGGGAGAGCAGCUCUGAGUGAACAGGAGGCUUUGGAGGAAUCACUGUUGACAGGUUUCAAAUUAAACAUGAACACACAUAAGCAAUGGGCUUGGGUCAGACGUGAUUAUGAUCACCAUUUUGUGGAGCUGAAAGAAAGACGUGGUUUAAGCAAAAUUGCACUUUCACAAAGAAGAGGAGGCAGCAAGUAAGCGAGCUACCCACAGCUGCUCUAUUGCGUGAAGACAACAGAAUUAUAUAACUAGAAUAAUAAGGGAAGAGAACACGACACAAAGAAGAGCAAGGAAGAGGUUCAGGAGAAGACCAAGCAAGGGAUGCACCUCACAGUGCAACAUGGAAAGAACAGAUUCUACGUGGUGGUGGCCUGGAGGUGGAGAGGGGGAUGGGCUGUGGAAGGAGCUUAUCUCAUGUGCCCUGCCAGUUCACUGGGCAGUAGGCCUGGAAAAAGUUGCUGUGGUGGAAGCCCAGAGUGGCGAUGAGAAAAGCAAGUGGCAGAAUGGUAUACUGGCCCAGGAAGAGGGAGCUAUCUCGAUAAAGCCUGAUAAAGCACUCACUUGCUUUCAGAUGAGCAUCUCACUGCCUCAUUCAUUGUUUUUCCCCAGCACCUGUAAUCUGUGAGUCCUCCCCCACACAUGGUAAUGCUGGAGAAAAGGAUGAUCCAAGCGCAAAAUCAUCAGUGAGCGAUCAUCAUUGUUCUUCUGCUCAAAUGUCACAUUCAGGCACCCCUGCACUGCCAUUCAGAAAUCUAUUAGCAGCAUAGCAGAGUCAGGAGCUCCCGUGACCCACUUUUACCAGACGGUGGAUGCUUCUAAUUCUGCAAUCAGUGAAACAGCAAAACCGAUUAGAACGUGUGUGGUGGUGUGCUGGAUCAGACCAGGCAAGCACAGCCGCUGGGGAAAGGUUAACAGAAUAUAACUUAAACAGCUUGUGUGCUUCCAAACUUGCCCCAGGUGAAGAGGAACAGCAGGCAAAUGAGAGCCCUUCCGAAACCCCCCACACAUAUUCUCUCUGCCACCCGUGAACAUCCUAUGCAGCCUGAGUUUAUCUUUGCCCUCAGAUUCAUCUGCCAUAGCCUUCUUGAUCCAGCUGUGCCCUGAGUGUGUAUAAAACAAACUCCAUAUCUGCAGUUGGACAUCCUGCAGUCUCCAAAUGCUGUAGGCCUCCCCUGCCCAGUCCCACACUGAGAUGGGUCCGUGUGUUUAUCCUUGCAGAACCAUGAACUCAGACUCCAAUCAUUGAAACACUGUGACUAAUUUUAUCCCUUUUCCCUGAGCCUCACCUUCCCUCUGCUCCCUUUCUUAAGUUAUGUGAAAAAAAAAAAUCCUCCUCCAAAGAAAGAUUUUAAAGGAACCAGACAAACUGUUUUGUGCAUUAUGAUCUUUCUCCUCAAAAUGUCCAUGUCUACAUUAUAGCUGCAUUUUGGAAAAAUGAAAGCUAAAACAAAUCAUUCCAGAGUCUUCUGUCCUAUGGCUGGGUAUGGUAGUACAUGCCUGUAAUCCCAGAA
This is a long non-coding RNA of Peromyscus leucopus (white-footed mouse), 2615 nucleotides long. RefSeq lists it as uncharacterized. The record is from RefSeq and is a predicted model, not a curated record. The transcript has 3 exons. NCBI's taxonomy places the organism in Eukaryota, Metazoa, Chordata, Mammalia, Rodentia, Cricetidae.